This is a long non-coding RNA of Dinoponera quadriceps, 314 nucleotides long. RefSeq lists it as uncharacterized. The record is from RefSeq and is a predicted model, not a curated record. Lineage: Eukaryota; Metazoa; Arthropoda; Insecta; Hymenoptera; Formicidae. The transcript is spliced from 3 exons.
UUUGAAUUAACGAAUCCGUGUUUCGGGUAUAGAGAGAAAAGGAGAGAUAUCUAGGAUAUAGAAAGUGGAAUAAGAACAAGUUGACGGAGGACGAAGGAGCGUGUCCGCUUGGUUGAACGAAAGAAGAAGAAAUGGAAGUAUGGAAAGUGCAGCUGGACGAGCUAACAAGUUGAUGCAACAUUCGACGACGUGAGGAUGGAAAGAAUUCUGGAAAAUUAUAACAAUAUCCAAGGAACAAGGGGGCCGGAAAAUCAACGAUAAAAUCGACGGCUAAGAUGACGAAGUCAGCGAAGUCAUGGACCCGAACCGCUCCA